RNAcentral lists this ribosomal RNA (445 nucleotides) under uncultured bacterium. RNAcentral's name for it is "SSU rRNA". It matches the Rfam family "Bacterial small subunit ribosomal RNA", at positions 26 to 518 of the family's 1533-position model. The record is from RNAcentral.
AGAGCGAACGCUGGCGGCAGGCUUAACACAUGCAAGUCGAGCGGGCGUAGCAAUACGUCAGCGGCAGACGGGUGAGUAACGCGUGGGAACAUACCUUUUGGUUCGGAACAACACAGGGAAACUUGUGCUAAUACCGGAUAAGCCCUUACGGGGAAAGAUUUAUCGCCGAAAGAUUGGCCCGCGUCUGAUUAGCUAGUUGGUGAGGUAACGGCUCACCAAGGCGACGAUCAGUAGCUGGUCUGAGAGGAUGAUCAGCCACAUUGGGACUGAGACACGGCCCAAACUCCUACGGGAGGCAGCAGUGGGAAUAUUGGACAAUGGGCGCAAGCCUGAUCCAGCCAUGCCGCGUGAGUGAUGAAGGCCCUAGGUUGUAAAGCUCUUUGUGCGGGAAGAUAAUGACGGUACCGCAAGAAUAACGCCCGGCUAACUUCGCGCCAGCAGCCGC